AUUGAACGCUGGCGGCAGGCCUAACACAUGCAAGUCGAGCGAGCGGCGGACGGGUGAGUAAUGUAUGGGGACUGCCCGAUAGAGGGGGAUAACUACUGGAAACGGUGGCUAAUACCGCAUACUAUCGGAUAACCCAUAUGGGAUUAGCUAGUGGGGGGGGUAAAGGCUCACCUAGGGGAGGAUCUCUCGCUGGUCUGAGAGGUUGAUCGGCCACACGGGGACGGAGACAGGGCCCAACCUCCUACGGGGGCAGCGGUGGGGAACUUUGCACAAUGAGCGCAAGCCUGAUGCAGCCAGGCCGCGGGUAUGAAGAAGGCCUUAGGGUUGUAAAGUACUUUCAGCGGGGAGACGGUACCGACAGAGAAAGCACCGGCUAACUCCGUGCCAGCAGCCGCGGUAAUAC
RNAcentral lists this ribosomal RNA (403 nucleotides) under uncultured bacterium. RNAcentral describes it as "partial 16S ribosomal RNA". It matches the Rfam family "Bacterial small subunit ribosomal RNA", at positions 29 to 526 of the family's 1533-position model. The record is from RNAcentral.